RNAcentral lists this ribosomal RNA (468 nucleotides) under uncultured bacterium. RNAcentral describes it as "partial 16S ribosomal RNA". It matches the Rfam family "Bacterial small subunit ribosomal RNA", at positions 28 to 507 of the family's 1533-position model. The record is from RNAcentral.
GACGAACGCUGGCGGCGUGCUUAACACAUGCCAGUCGAACGGAAAGGCCGUGCUUUUGUGGGGUGCUCGAGUGGGGAACGGGUGAGUAACACGAGAGUAACCUGCCCUUGACUUUGGGAUAACUUCAGGAAACGGGGGCUAAUACCGGAUAGGAGCUGCUGCUGGAGGGAGGGGGUUGGAAAGUUUCGGCGGUUGGGGAUGGACUCGCGGCUUAUCAGCUUGUUGGUGGGGGAGUGGCUUACCAAGGCUUUGGCGGGUAGCCGGCCUGAGAGGGUGACCGGCCUCCUUGGGCCUGAGGUACGGCCCAGACUGCAACGGGAGACAGCAGUGGGGAGUCUUACACAAUGGGCGGAAGCCUGAGGCAGCAACGCCGCGUGCGGGAUGACGGCCUUCGGGUUAUAAACCGCUUUCGCUUGUGACGAAGCGUGAGUGACGGUAAUGGGUAAAUAAGCACCGGCUAACUACGUG